RNAcentral lists this ribosomal RNA (433 nucleotides) under uncultured bacterium. RNAcentral's name for it is "partial 16S ribosomal RNA". It matches the Rfam family "Bacterial small subunit ribosomal RNA", at positions 29 to 507 of the family's 1533-position model. The record is from RNAcentral.
AACGAACGCUGGCGGCAUGCCUAACACAUGCAAGUCGAACGAGACCUUCGGGCCUAGUGGCGCACGGGUGCGUAACGCGUGGGAACCUGCCCUUAGGUUCGGUAUAACUCCCUGAAGGGGGUGCUAAUACCGGAUAAUGUCUUAGCACCAAAGAUUUAUUGCCGUUGGAUGGGCGCGGGUUGGAUUCGCUGGUUGGUAGGGUACAAGCCUGCCAUGGCCACGAUGCAUAGCUGGUCUGUGAGGAUGACCAGGCACGCUGGGGCUGAGACACGGCCCAGACUCCUACGGAAGGCAGCAGUGGGGAAUAUUGGACGAUGGGCGAAGGCCUAAUCCAGCAGUGCCGCGUGUGUGAUGAAGGCGUUAGGAUUGUAAAGCUCUUUUACCCGGGAUGAUAAUGACAGUACCGGGAGAAUAAGCUCCGGCUAACUCCGUG